UAGGGAAUAUUGGGCAAUGGAGGCAACUCUGACCCAGCAACACCGCGUGAAUGAAGAAGGUCUUCGGAUUGUAAAGUUCUGUGAUGGGGGACGAAGAAAGUGACGGUACCCCAAGAGCAAGCCACGGCUAACUACGUGCCAGCAGCCGCGGUAAUACGUAGGUGGCAAGCGUUGUCCGGAAUGACUGGGCGUAAAGGGUGCGUAGGUGGUCUGUCAAGUUAGCCGUGAAAUUCCGGGGCUCAACUCCGGCGCUACGGCUAAGACUGACGGACUUGAGUGCAGGAGGGGCAAGUGGAAUUCCUAGUGUAGCGGUGGAAUGCGUAGAUAUUAGGAGGAACACCAGAGGCGAAGGCGACUUGCUGGACUGUAACUGACACUGAGGCACGAAAGCGUGGGGAGCAAACAGG
This 407-nucleotide ribosomal RNA is filed under the name uncultured bacterium. RNAcentral's name for it is "bacterial SSU rRNA". It matches the Rfam family "Bacterial small subunit ribosomal RNA", at positions 355 to 776 of the family's 1533-position model. The record is from RNAcentral.